Molecule: ribosomal RNA, 464 nt
Filed under: uncultured bacterium
Lineage: Bacteria
Description: partial 16S ribosomal RNA
Rfam family: Bacterial small subunit ribosomal RNA
Source: RNAcentral
CUACGGGGGGCACCAGUGGGGAAUAUUGGACAAUGGGGGGAACCCUGAUCCAGCCAUGCCGCGUGUGUGAAGAAGGCCUUUUGGUUGUAAAGCACUUUAAGCAGUGAAGAAGACUCUUCGGUUAAUACCCGGGGACGAUGACAUUAGCUGCAGAAUAAGCACCGGCUAACUCUGUGCCAGCAGCCGCGGUAAUACAGAGGGUGCAAGCGUUAAUCGGAAUUACUGGGCGUAAAGCGAGCGUAGGUGGCUUGAUAAUUCAGAUGUGAAAUCCCCGGGCUUAACCUGGGAACUGCAUCUGAAACUGUUAGGCUAGAGUAGGUGAGAGGGAAGUAGAAUUUCAGGUGUAGCGGUGAAAUGCGUAGAGAUCUGAAGGAAUACCGAUGGCGAAGGCAGCUUCCUGGCAUCAUACUGACACUGAGGCUCGAAAGCGUGGGUAGCAAACAGGAUUAGAUACCCGCGUAGUC